This 5236-nucleotide long non-coding RNA is filed under the name Gossypium barbadense (sea-island cotton). RNAcentral's name for it is "long non-coding RNA (GBAR_LNC016531)". Lineage: Eukaryota; Viridiplantae; Streptophyta; Magnoliopsida; Malvales; Malvaceae. The record is from RNAcentral.
GGAACUACAGUGGAGAGAGACGUCAUGGUCUAGGAGGUUGAUUCAGCAGAAAUUGGGUGAUGUCUUGUUGCGCGAAAGCGUGUGAAAGAGUAAAAUUAUUGUACUGAAAAAUCACACUAAGUUCAAUUCCCAGGAAAGAGAGGUGGAUCACGAGGAUCGCUUACAUACCAGAUCUUUCCUAGCCAGAAUAUCCCUCUAUCGUAAUUUAAUAGCACAAUAAAUUACUACAAUGACACUUGCAAAAUAUGCAGAACAAAAAAAUAAAGAACACUAGAAUUUUAACGAGGUUCAGCAAAUUUUGCCUACGUCCUCGGGCACUACCAAAUAUAUUUCACUCCAAAAAUACAAGUGAAAGUUUACAAAUAGGGAGAGAGAACAAUUGCCUUAAGUAGAGAAUGGCAAGUGUGGGAUGAAGAAAGUAAGAAAUGGUUAGGCCUAUUUAUAGUUGAGGUUUAAGGAUCAACUUGCAAUGUCCCUAUACAAUUAGGGACCAAAAUUGCAAUUAUCCCAUGCCAACUUUUAACCCAACUUGCCAACCAAUCUUACUUUCUACUUUCGGUGCCCACCCUUUUUGACUUUUCAAACAAUGUGGGUGGGUUCCAAUAAUCUCCACCUUGAAGAUUUGAUUAGGAUAAUCUUAUCUUCACACAAUUCUUUCUGCCUUUGACAACAAUACUUGAUAGUGCCUUCUUCAACUGUUAAACUUGCAGGAUAUUAAUCAAGUUCAAACAAUGUUCGAACUUGGUUGCUGUUACCACCUUGGUCAUCAUAUCUGCGGGAUUAUCUGCAGUCUUGAUCUUCUGAAGACAAAUUUUCCCCUCUUCAAUAAUUUCCCGCACAAAAUGGAAUCGUACGUCGAUAUGUUUUGUACGUGCAUGAUAGACUUGAUUCUUUGCUAAAUGAAUAGCACUUUGACUAUCACAAUACACGUUAAUAUGCUCCUGAACCAACCCCAAGGUUUUAGCCAUACCUUGUAACCAAAUAGCCUCCUUUACAGCCUCUGUUACAGCCAUGUACUCGGCUUCUAUGGUUGACAAUGCAACUGUAGACUGUAGUGUAGACUUCUAACUUAUUGGUCCUCCAGCAAGUGUAAACACAUAACCGGUGGUUGAUCUUCGCUUGUCCAAAUCACCGGCAUAGUCAAAAUCAACGUACCCAAUAACACCUUUACCAAGUGUAUUAUCCUGCUUGAACAGUAAUCCAACAUCCACGGUCUUCUGAAUAUACCGUAGAAUCCAUUUCACAGCUUGCCAAUGUCCUUUUCCAGGAUUAUGCAUAUACCUGCUCACUAUACUAACUGCCUGUGAAAUGUCGGGUCUUGUAUACACCAUUGCAUACAUCAAGCUACCCACUGCAUUAGAAUACGGAACUUGCAACAUGUAUUCUCGUUCCGUAUUCGUCGAAGGAGAUAGUUGUGCAGAAAGCUUGAAAUGAGAAGCCAACGGGGUACUUACAGGUUUUGUCUGCUCGUUCAUGCCAAACUACUGUAGUACCUUUUUCAAAUACUGCUUCUGAGACAAGCUAACUCUAUCAUGAGCUCUAUCUCUCCAUAUUUCCAUGCCGAGAAUCUUUUUAGCUUCUCCUAGAUCUUUCAUCUCAAACUCGAGAUUGAGUUGAGUCUUCAAUCUUUCAAUCUCAACUUUGCUCUUAGAUGCUAUUAGCAUAUCAUCAACAUAUAAGAGCAAGUAUAUGAAAGUUCCUUCUUGUAGCUUCUGAAAAUACACGCAAUGACCAAAUUUACUUCUUGUGUACCUUUGCCCUUUCAUGAACUGAUCAAAUCGCUUGUACCACUGCCUCAGAGAUUGUUUCAAUCCAUAAAGCGACUUUGUCAGUUUGCAAACCCAAUUUUCUUUUCCAGCAACCUUGAAUCCAUCUGGCUGAGUCAUAUAGAUUUCCUCUUCCAAAUCACCGUGUAAAAACGCGGUCUUCACAUCAAGCUGAACUAGUUCAAGAUCAUAUUGCGCAACCAAGGCUAGCAAAAUCCGAAUAGACGAAUGCUUCACAACUGGAGAAAACACUUUAUUGUAGUCUAUUCCUUCUUUCUGAGCGUAACCCUUUGCUACUAAUCUAGCCUUGUAUCGAAUUUCAUUUUUAUCAGGAAAUCCUUCCUUCUUUGCAUAUACCCAUUUGCAUCCAAUUGCCUUCUUUCCCUUGGGUAGUGUCACCAACUCCCAGGUCUUAUUUUUAUGAAGAGACUGCAUUUCUUCAUUCAUUGCUUGCUUCCACUUUACACCAUCAGGGUUACUUAUUACUUCUGUGUAAGUAGAAGGAACAUCAUCAUCUGUAAUUGGAAGUGCAUAGGCCACUAUAUCAUCAAAGCAAGCAGGCUUACGAAUCUUUCUUCUUGGCCUUCUAUAUGCAAUUGAAUCUUGUUGCUGUAGAGGUUCUUGGGUAGGAACCUCUUCAUCAUUUGUCCCUUCAAUAUUAGCUGGAUCAUCGUUAACCUUUUCAAGCUCCACCUGCUGCAAAGUACUACUGGUUUUGUCAUCCUUUUGUGAAUCCUUGUACUUCAACAUGGUUGAUUCAUCAAAAGUCACAUCUCUACUGAAAACAAUCUUCCUUGUAUCAGGACACCAGAGACGAUAUCCUUUUACUCCAUCAGUUAUACCCAAGAAUAAUGCUUUCUUUGCUCUUGGGUCUAACUUAGAUUCUUUUACAUGAUAAUAUGCAGUGGAACCAAAUACAUGCAAAGAAUCAUAAUCAGUAGCAGAUUUACCAGUCCACAUCUCCAUAGGAGUUUUUCCAUUUAUUGCAGCUGAUGGCAAACGGUUAAUUAGAUGGCACGCAUAUGUAACUGCCUCAGCCCAAAAUUCUUUGCCCAAUCCAGCAUUGGACAACAUACAUCGAACUUUCUCCAGUAUAGUUCGAUUCAUUCGUUCUGCCACCCCAUUUUGCUGUGGUGUAUCCCGAACAGUGAAGUGUCGCACAAUGCCCUCAUCUUGGCAUACUUGUAGAAAUGGAUCGUUUUUGUACUCAGUACCAUUAUCUGAUCGAAGUCGUUUGACCUUUCGACCAGUCUGAGUCUCCACCAUCUUCUUCCAUUUCAGAAAUGCAUCCAAAAUUUCACUUUUUCUUUUCAUUAGAUACACCCAUACUUUUCUUGAAUAAUCAUCAACAAAAGUAACAAAAUAGUGCAUACCUCCCAAAGAAGCUACUUUGGUAGGUCCCCACACAUCACUGUGAACGUAGUCCAGAAUUCCUUUCGUAUUGUGAAUUGCUGGACCAAAUUUUACCCUCUUCUACUUGCCCAGAACACAAUGUUCACAGAAUUCCAUUUUGCAAGAAUUUGCACCUUUCAAUAAGCCUUGCUUCACCAAUGUCUGCAAAGCUUUUUCACCAGCAUGUCCCAAUCGCAUAUGCCAUAAUCUGGUAGCCUCUGAAUCUACAUCUUUUGUAGAAACUGUUGAUGUUGAUCCAAUAACUGUACUUCUAUUUAAAAAAUACAAGUUAUUUCUUCUUGUGCCUUUCAUCACCGUCAGUUGCCCAGCUACUACUUUUAGUAAUCCAUCUCUCAAAGUGAUUGUGAGCCCUUUAGAUUCUAGGGCACCUAAUGAGAUGAGAUUUUUCUUCAAGCUAGGUACGUAAGCGAACAUCUGUCAAGACUUGGAUUGAGCCGUCGUGAUUCUUCAAUUGGACUGUACCCACUCCCAUUGUCUUACAAGCACUAUCAUUGCCCAUAAGAACAAUUCCACCUUCUAGCUCUUUAAGACUAGAAAACCAGUCCUUAUUAGGACACAUAUGGUAAGUACAUCCUGAAUCCAAAAUCCACUCAUCCGUUUGACAUGCCAUUGCCAUGCCAACCAAGCUAAAGUCUGACUCCUCAUCAUGCUCCGCUACACAUGCAUUAGAAAUAGCCUUGCCCUUUUGUAGCUUAGGACAAUUCUUUUUCCAAUACCCUUUUUCACGGCAAAAGGCACAUUCAUCUUUGGCGGGUCUCCCUUUGGACUUUCCCCUCCUACCAGAUUUGCUGCUGUGUGAACGACCUCUUACUGUUAAGACUUCUGCGGUUGUAUCUCUGUGAUCUCUUUUAUCUAUCUUUCGAGUCUCAGAUCUAUACAACGCACUACAGACUGCAUCAAAUGUGAUCGUGUCCUUCCCAUGAAGCAAUGUGGUGGUAAGAUGAUCAUAUUCAUCAGGAAGGGAAUUCAACAACAAUAAUGCCUUGUCUUCAUCUUCAAAUUUCUCAUCCAAAUUUAGCAAGUCUGCUAAAAUUUUAUUGAAUGAGUUCACAUGGUCAUUCAUCGACAUACCGGGUGCAUACGUGAAUCGAUAAAGUUUCUUUUUCAUAUAAAGCCUAUUUUCAAGACUUUUCGUUAGAAACUUUUCUUCCAGUGUAUCCCAUAACUUCUUCGCUGAUGUCUCCCUCAUGACAGAGUACUUCUGCUCUUUGGCCAAACAUAGGCGGAUUGUACCACACGCCUGUCUAUUGAUCUUGGCCCACUCCUUGUCAUCCAUCUUGUCAGGUUUUUCUUCAAGGGCUAUAUCUAGCUCUUGCUGACAUAAGACAUCCAGGAUCUCACAUUGCCACAUACCAAAAUUAUUGGUACCGUCAAAUUUCUCUACUUCAAAUUUUGCAUUUGUCACAAUAGUCCUUGCUGAUGACGAUGCUGCUGCCAUUUUUCUCCUCAAUCCCAACUACUGUAUACGUGAAUAGUACCGUAUACGUGAAUAGUGCUGUAUACGUGAAUAGUACCAUAUACGUGAAUAGUAUUGUAUACGUGAAUAGUAUCGUAAACGGUCGUAUUCCCUAAGUACGAACCUGGCUCUGGUACCAAUUGUUGCGCGGAAGCGUGUGAAAGAGUAAAAUUAUUGUACUGAAAAAUCACACUAAGUUCAAUUCCCAGGAAAGAGAUGUGGAUCACGAGGAUCGCUUACAUACCAGAUCUUUCCUAGCCAGAAUAUCCCUCUAUCGUAAUUUAAUAGCACAAUAAAUUACUACAAUGACACUUGCAAAAUAUGCAGAACAAAAAAAAUAAAGAACACUAGAAUUUUAACGAGGUUCAGCAAAUUUUGCCUACGUCCUCGGGCACUACCAAAUAUAUUUCACUCCAAAAAUACAAGUGAAAGUUUACAAAUAGGGAGAGAGAACAAUUGCCUUAAGUAGAGAAUGGCAAGUGUGGGAUGAAGAAAGUAAGAAAUGGUUAGGCCUAUUUAUAGUUGAGGUUUAAGGAUCAACUUGCAAUGUCCCUAUACAAUUAGGGACCAAAAUUGCAAUUAUCCCAUGCCAACUUUUAAC